UACGAAGGGGGCUAGCGUUGUUCGGAAUUACUGGGCGUAAAGCGCACGUAGGCGGACAUUUAAGUCAGGGGUGAAAUCCCGGAGCUCAACUCCGGAACUGCCUUUGAUACUGGGUGUCUUGAGUGUGGAAGAGGUGAGUGGAAUUCCGAGUGUAGAGGUGAAAUUCGUAGAUAUUCGGAGGAACACCAGUGGCGAAGGCGGCUCACUGGUCCAUUACUGACGCUGAGGCGCGAAAGCGUGGGUAGCAAACAGG
RNAcentral lists this ribosomal RNA (253 nucleotides) under uncultured bacterium. RNAcentral describes it as "partial 16S ribosomal RNA". It matches the Rfam family "Bacterial small subunit ribosomal RNA", at positions 524 to 776 of the family's 1533-position model. The record is from RNAcentral.